UGUGAACUACUGCUUUAUCCACUGGGGAUGU
Molecule: non-coding RNA, 31 nt
Filed under: Mus musculus (house mouse)
Lineage: Eukaryota; Metazoa; Chordata; Mammalia; Rodentia; Muridae
Source: RNAcentral